Molecule: ribosomal RNA, 253 nt
Filed under: uncultured bacterium
Lineage: Bacteria
Description: partial 16S ribosomal RNA
Rfam family: Bacterial small subunit ribosomal RNA
Source: RNAcentral
UACGAGUGCCCCAAGCGUUAUCCGGAAUUAUUGGGCGUAAAGGGUGUGUAGGUGGUCUUGUUAGUCUUCUGUGAAAUUCUUCGGCUUAACCGGGGGUCCGCAGGGGAAACGGCAGGACUAGAGGAUGCGAGAGGUGUGCGGAACUCAUGGUGUAGGGGUGAAAUCCGUUGAUAUCAUGGGGAACACAGAAAGCGAAGGCAGCACACUGGCGCACUCCUGACACUGAAACACGAAAGCGUGGGUAGCGAAUGGG